Cannabis sativa is the source of this 416-nucleotide long non-coding RNA. RefSeq lists it as uncharacterized. The record is from RefSeq and is a predicted model, not a curated record. NCBI's taxonomy places the organism in Eukaryota, Viridiplantae, Streptophyta, Magnoliopsida, Rosales, Cannabaceae. The transcript is spliced from 3 exons.
AAUAUUUUACAACUUUGAAAUUAAGGCUUGGAUUGGAGAAAAGUUAAGGAGUUUGGGUGAUUUUGGUGCUUGGAGCUUAGAAAUUAGUGGAUUACCGGCACCUGAUCAGGAGCACCCAGGGGUUUGGAAUCUCUGUUAUUGCGGGACAACAGGAAAGGGUAAGUCAGUGGCUGAUCAACGAUGAGUUUGAGGAGCAAAACGAAGAAUGUACAUGUUCAAGCCAUAUCAGACCAAGCGGGUUAAGGGUCUAUCAGUGUUGAACUUUUGAAUUCUGUUUUGCCGCUUAGGUCGGCUAGAAAGAAAAGACUUGUAAUAAGUUUGUAAUUAUUUUUGGGAUCCCAACUAUUUUGAAAAGUUUAAAUAUAUUACAAGUUUAUUUUCAUUCUGAUUAAUAUAAAAGUUUAAAUUCUGCGCUA